Molecule: transfer RNA, 66 nt
Filed under: Hebius vibakari ruthveni
Lineage: Eukaryota; Metazoa; Chordata; Lepidosauria; Squamata; Natricidae
Description: tRNA-His
Source: RNAcentral
GCGUGCGUAAUUUAAAAAAAAUAUCAAGCUGUGAUCCUGACUAUAGGAGAUACUCCUCGCACACCU